This 405-nucleotide ribosomal RNA is filed under the name uncultured bacterium. RNAcentral's name for it is "partial 16S ribosomal RNA". It matches the Rfam family "Bacterial small subunit ribosomal RNA", at positions 30 to 526 of the family's 1533-position model. The record is from RNAcentral.
AUUGAACGCUGGCGGCAGGCUUAACACAUGCAAGUCGAACGAGUGGCGGACGGGUGAGUAAUGCCUGGGAAUCUAGCUUAUGGAGGGGGAUAACUACGGGAAACUGUAGCUAAUACCGCGUACCAUAGGAUGAGCCCAGGUGGGAUUGGGUAGUGGGUGAGGUAAAGGCUCCCCAAGCCGACGAUCUCUAGCUGGUCUGAGAGGAUGACCCGCCACACUGGGACGGAGACACGGCCCAGACUCCUACGGGAGGCAGCAGUGGGGAAUAUUGCGCAAUGGGGGCAACCUGACGCAGCCAUGCCGCGUGAAGGAAGAAGGCCUUCGGGUUGUAAAGUUCUUUCGGUAGCGAGGCGUUAACUACAGAAGAAGCACCGGCUAACUCCGUGCCAGCCGCCGCGGUAAUAC